Molecule: transfer RNA, 66 nt
Filed under: Glyptelasma gigas
Lineage: Eukaryota; Metazoa; Arthropoda; Thecostraca; Poecilasmatidae
Description: tRNA-Pro
Rfam family: tRNA
About the family: Transfer RNA (tRNA) molecules are approximately 80 nucleotides in length. Their secondary structure includes four short double-helical elements and three loops (D, anti-codon, and T loops).
Source: RNAcentral
CAAAGAAUAGUUUAUAAAAAUACUGGUUUUGGAAAUCAGAGAUGUUACUUAUUGUAUCUUUUUUGA